AGCUGAUGAGCACGCCGCGUGAGUGAUGAAGGCCUUCGGGUUGUAAAGCUCUGUCUUUGGGGACGAUAAUGACGGUACCCAAGGAGGAAGCCACGGCUAACUACGUGCCAGCAGCCGCGGUAAUACGUAGGUGGCAAGCGUUGUCCGGAUUUACUGGGCGUAAAGGAUGCGUAGGUGGAUAUGCAAGUCAGAUGUGAAAUACCCGGGCUUAACUCGGGUGCUGCAUUUGAAACUAUAUAUCUAGAGUGCAGGAGAGGUAAGUGGAAUUCCUAGUGUAGCGGUGAAAUGCGUAGAGAUUAGGAAGAACACCAGUGGCGAAGGCGACUUACUGGACUGUAACUGACACUGAGGCAUGAAAGCGUGGGGAGCAAACAGGAUUAGAUACCCUGGUAGUCCACGCCGUAAACGAUGGGUACUAGGUGUAGGGGGUAUCGACUCCCUCUGUGCCGCAGUUAACACAAUAAGUACCCCGCCUGGGGAGUACGGUCGCAAGAUUAAAACUCAAG
Molecule: ribosomal RNA, 506 nt
Filed under: uncultured Clostridia bacterium
Lineage: Bacteria; Bacillati; Bacillota; Clostridia
Description: bacterial SSU rRNA
Rfam family: Bacterial small subunit ribosomal RNA
Source: RNAcentral